This 855-nucleotide ribosomal RNA is filed under the name uncultured bacterium. RNAcentral's name for it is "bacterial SSU rRNA". It matches the Rfam family "Bacterial small subunit ribosomal RNA", at positions 28 to 896 of the family's 1533-position model. The record is from RNAcentral.
GAUGAACGCUAGCGGCAGGCUUAAUACAUGCAAGGCGAGGGGGCAGCAAUGUCACCGUCGUACGGGUGCGUAACGCGUAUGCAACCUACCUUCAACUGGGGGAUAGCCCGGGGAAACCCGGAUUAAUACCGCAUAACACAAUGAGGUCUCAUGGUUUUAUUGUUAAAGAUUUAUUGGUUGAAGAUGGGCAUGCGUUCGAUUAGCUAGUUGGCGGGGUAACGGCCCACCAAGGCGACGAUCGAUAGGGGAGCUGAGAGGUUGAUCCCCCACACGGGCACUGAGAUACGGGCCCGACUCCUACGGGAGGCAGCAGUAGGGAAUAUUGGGCAAUGGAUGCAAGUCUGACCCAGCCAUGCCGCGUGCCGGAUGAAGGCCCUCAGGGUUGUAAACGGCUUUUAUUCGGGAAGAAGAGCACGGAUGCGUCUGUGUGUGACGGUACCGAAUGAAUAAGCACCGGCUAACUCCGUGCCAGCAGCCGCGGUAAUACGGAGGGUGCGAGCGUUGUCCGGAUUUAUUGGGUUUAAAGGGUGCGUAGGUGGCUUUUUAAGUCAGUGGUGAAAUACAGCCGCUCAACGGUUGAGGUGCCAUUGAUACUGAAAAGCUUGAAACAAGUGGAGGCUGCCGGAAUGGAUGGUGUAGCGGUGAAAUGCAUAGAUAUCAUCCAGAACACCGAUUGCGAAGGCAGGUGGCUACGUUUGAUUUGACACUGAGGCACGAAAGCAUGGGGAGCAAACAGGAUUAGAUACCCUGGUAGUCCAUGCCGUAAACGAUGAGGACUCGCUGUUGGUCUGUCAAGGGUCAGCGGCUUAGGGAAACCGUUAAGUCCUCCACCUGGGGAGUACGCCGGCAACGGUG